Molecule: ribosomal RNA, 118 nt
Filed under: uncultured bacterium
Lineage: Bacteria
Description: partial 16S ribosomal RNA
Rfam family: Bacterial small subunit ribosomal RNA
Source: RNAcentral
CUACGGUGAAUACGUUCCCGGACCUUGUACACACCGCCCGUCAAGCCAUGGAAGCUGGGUGUACCUAAAGUCGAUAACCGUAAGGAGUCGCCUAGGGUAAAACUAGUAACUGGGGGCU